UACGUAGGGGGCAAGCGUUGUCCGGAUUUACUGGGCGUAAAGAGCGUGUAGGCGGCCACGCAGGUCCGUUGUGAAAACUGGAGGCUCAACCUCCAGCUGUCGACGGAAACCGUAUGGCUAGAGUCCGGAAGAGGAGAGUGGAAUUCCUGGUGUAGCGGUGAAAUGCGCAGAUAUCAGGAAGAACACCGAUGGCGAAGGCAGGUCUCUGGGCCACUACUGACGCUGAGAAGCGAAAGCAUGGGGAGCGAACAGG
RNAcentral lists this ribosomal RNA (253 nucleotides) under uncultured bacterium. Its description in RNAcentral is "partial 16S ribosomal RNA". It matches the Rfam family "Bacterial small subunit ribosomal RNA", at positions 524 to 776 of the family's 1533-position model. The record is from RNAcentral.